AUGACAAGAUAUGAGCUUCCUUUUAGUUCCCUGCCUAUGAAGAGCUGCAUCCUGAUGCAAAUCAUUCUCCAGCAGAACCUAAAGGGAGAGAAAAGAGAAUCUAGAGGGUGUAUUCUAGAAGAAGCAAGAAAGUUGUGGAAGUAGGCCAGCUCAGCUUAAUUCCGUUGGAGUGAUUCUCAGGGGUAUGCGAUGCAGCAGCUAGGAAAGUUUAUAUUGAGAGAAUAGAGUUGAGUGGGGGUCAUAACUAUUUUGUGGCUUUUUUCUUCCAGCUAAUAGAUAGCUUGGGGGCAGUGUGAUUACUGCUGGGGUGGGAGAAAGAUCUUGUAUCCAAUUUCACCUGUAUUUUGAAUAUUGAUAAAAAAAAUUCCUCCAUUCUCAUUGCUGCUGCAAUACUCUGUCAUUAUCUCUGUUCCUAACUUGUUUUAGCACUUUUUGAUUCCUUACUCUUUAUCACAUCCGUUGAAGAAGAAUAUGAAGCUACUGAAGGUGAAGUUCUACUUGGUAAUGAAGAUAAUGAUGGCUGGCGGGUGAGUCAUUGGAAACCAAAAGGGAAUUUGCUAGUCUUGGGUGAUGAAGGUUUAACAGUUUUCUCAGUUGUUGAACAUGUUAUCAUGAAAGCUUCAACGAGAUACCAAGCAGCAGUAUGGUUUAAGGCAAAUGGGCCAAGGUGCAUCAGCAACUCUGCCCAAAGAUCUCUUGACUCUGCCCAAAGAUCCCUCUGAGCAAGAGUUUUGCCUCGCAUUAAGAAAUGGUGUCAUUUUCUAGAAUGUUCUCAACAAAGUCAAUCCUGGUGCUAUCCUCAAGGUAUUUUCACCUUGCAACUAUGCAUUUGUUAUGACUCAUGUUGUGACACUUCCAUUUUGGAAAUGGUCCAUUAUUGUAGCCGUAUUUUCUUUUGCCACAAUUUAAAUUGCUGGCUGAGCUCCAAUGACACCGUAGAGCCCCUGAAGCCAUUAGUAUAUCAUUAAUGAUAAUAGUAAUAAUUUUAUAUGAUGUAAGAG
Molecule: long non-coding RNA, 1001 nt
Organism: Hevea brasiliensis (rubber tree)
Lineage: Eukaryota; Viridiplantae; Streptophyta; Magnoliopsida; Malpighiales; Euphorbiaceae
Exons: 3
Source: RefSeq, a predicted model, not a curated record